Molecule: long non-coding RNA, 643 nt
Organism: Amblyraja radiata (thorny skate)
Lineage: Eukaryota; Metazoa; Chordata; Chondrichthyes; Rajiformes; Rajidae
Exons: 3
Source: RefSeq, a predicted model, not a curated record
AUCCAGCACCAAGCUGCCGUCUUCCAGCACCUCACUCACAGCCAGAGAUCUUUGCUCACAGCGCCCACGUGUGCUGGACCCAGUUUGGGCAUGAUCCCUCGGUUGGCUUCGUUACUGCAGAAGCAGGCCCUUUGGUCCUGUGAUUAUUUGCCUUGGCUCGUGCAAUGUUAUGACAGUAUCUGCCUCCACCAAGGAUUUCCAAAUUGCAACCAAAAUUGGUGGAAAAAAAUCCUCAAUAUAAAAAUGGAUCCAUUCCGUGAGGGUGUCGAAUGUCAUGUGGGGACCUUCUGAAGUUCAGCUGGAAGGGCACCAAUUGCCUGGUCUCUCCACAGAUAUUGACACAGUUGACCAGCGCCUCCACAAAUUUGAGACGCAAGUCCCUGGGUGAUGCGCAGAUUGACCAUGGAAUUCUUCAGGGUUUUUACAAUGCCGUGCCGUGGACUGCUGAUUGAUACAGGGCAGAAACACACAUUUGCCCCACUGUCCACGUUGACCACCCCGUACACAUCUAUACUAUUCCCUAUAUCCUAGGGAGUAACCUCUUGCAAGUUCUCAGUGACGACCAAGUGACUGGGGAAUUAUCUAUCUUGUGGUGUAGGGCAGACAUCUAACUUUAGAAUAUCAAACACGUGAGAUAUUAUAG